CAGUAAGUUCAACGAUUGUUUUUAAUAUCCUAGAAAAACAUCGAAAUAUUUCUAUUAUUUGUAAAUUGAAUUUCUGAAAGAAUAUAAAUUGUCCUACUAGUCUUAAUAUUUCGUGGAUCAUCUUAUCUGCAAUGAUAGGUCAUUAACGGUAGAUUCUAAAUUAUUCGAUACGACCUCAUCAGAUUUUUCCAAAAGAUUCUGUAGAAUAACCGAAAAUAAUUUUUCUCCGGUUCUUGAAAAUCACUUCGUUUAAAUCGAUUGCUUCAUUAUUUAUUGAUCGCUAGCAUUCUCCCACGCACUUCUAUUUUGAGCCAUGACGCAUUUAAACAUGGCUCCAUGGGAGAGAAAUCAAAGGACAUAAAUUGUUUUUCUCUCAACCUGCAUUCAACAAUUUUAUGCGCAACAAUUUCUCUAUCUGUGCUGCUAUGAAAAUAUUAACUGCGAGAGCUAGAUUUUCAACGGAUGCUCCAAGUUCCAGUUCACAUUUCUUCCAAAUGCAAUUCAACAGGGCAGAAUUGUUUGGAUCCCUGUUUUUCAUAAAGAACUCAGCAUCUGUGGAGUGCGUGAGGAUCACGAAAGUACCUGAUUCUGACAUGAAUCCUCCUCGUAUAGCCUAUAUGAUGCCUCUUAUCCAUCAUACAGGCCAUCCAUGCCUAUAUGAUGUUGUUUUGAAACCGAUAUUCAUCUUUGAUAAAAUUGUAAAAGCUGAAAAAUGAAGUACGUCAAUGGGAGAAGCCAGUUCCUUCCCUUUUCGUGCAUCCACAAGGGUGGCGAGAACCAACCACCAAAGGAUGUCCAGUAAUAGUUACUUUGCACCUCCAGAGGAGCUGUGUUGAUUUUUCCUCCUGUUUCUGGAACAUUCCACUUCAUUCUUCUAUGACUGUAGAAAAACAAACCAAAGUUUUCCGAUAUGCCUCUCCUGAUCAGAGAAAGUUUCUGGAACAUUCCACUUCAUUCUUCUAUGACUGUAGAAAAACAAACCAAAGUUUUCCGAUAUGCCUCUCCUGAUCAGAGAAAG
Argiope bruennichi is the source of this 1018-nucleotide long non-coding RNA. RefSeq lists it as uncharacterized. Lineage: Eukaryota; Metazoa; Arthropoda; Arachnida; Araneae; Araneidae. The transcript is spliced from 6 exons. The record is from RefSeq and is a predicted model, not a curated record.